AGAGUCCAUUGUUAUGAAACUGAAUGAAAAUAUCAGCUCUCACUGCUACAGUGUAUUUACAACAUUCUGUCACUCUGUGUAUUAGAAUAUAUUAUAGCAGAAGACAAAAAGUAAAAUGAAUGUGCUGUGAAAUGAGCUCUACAUGAAAUAAACAAUAUUUGUAGCUGUAAUGUAACUGUGAAAAACAAUCUCAAGAAAGGUGUUUUUUUUUUUUUUUUUUUAAAUGCUCAGCAGUAAAAGUUCCUUCAUGUGGAGACACAAGGACUAGACUCUUGUCUGCUCCUCUUUACAAUAAGAAGUGUUUUGCUACCAUCUGCUGGAUGAAUUACACAUUACAGUGUUAAACAGAUCUACAGACACAAAUGUCUUUGAUAUAAUAUCAGAUGAAUAUCUGGAAUAGAAACCAAUGUUUAUUUACAAAUCUUGUCUGAAGAGCCGUAAAUAGUUGUACACAAUUUGUCCAGUUAAUUUUAUAAUGUUUUAACAUAACGUUCAUUGUGCUCUUGGUUAGAACAUAAUGACAGUAGGGUUAAAAUACAUUUAAAUUAUGCACAUUUGUCCCAAGAAUUACUUUAAAAUGUUCAGUUUAUUAUAAUUUAUAUAACCAUAGUAAAUAUAAAUUAUUUGUGUGUAAAAUACAGUUUCAGUAAGUGAGCAGUCAGUGAUCAGAGCUUGUAUCUGCUGUGUUCAGGUUCAGGUUUGAUGCUGAAUAUAAGCUGCAGUGUUUCUGUAUCAAUCUGCUUUAAGUUUAGUGUGACUUUAUCUCCACACUGACUUCUGACUGACACGAGUCUGUCCUCAGUGAAGUGUCUCUUCACGCUGGAGGAGGAGUCCCGCUCAUCAGCGCUCACACUUUAUUGAUAUAUAUGGAGAAAAUCAAAAUGCUGCUUUCUGAUUUGUCACUGAUUGUGUUUGAUGAUUUCCUCUGUUGUGUCUAAUAAGGUAACAGUGAGUGUCAUUGGCAGCUGUGAGUCUCUCUCUCUCUUUGGGGGCUGACAGGAGCCAGUUUCUUCAGUGUGUUUGAGGAGCAGACGAGAAACUUGUGCUAACAGAGUUAAACACACGGUGUGACGAGCAGAAGAAGAUGGAGGGAUGUUUGACACUAGUUUUAUUCUGUUUCAUAUUAACUCUAACCACAUCUGAUUCUGUGAGGUUGGUUGGUGGUCACAGUCGCUGUGCUGGUUCGAGUGGAGGUUCUUCAUGAUGGUCAGUGGGGAACAGUUGUGAUGAUGACUGGGAUAUGACUGAAGCUGCAGUGGUGUGUAGAGAGCUUGGAUGUGGAGAGGCUGUACAAGCUCUGGGUGAUGCUCAUUUUGGAGAAGGAUCAGAUCCAGUCUGGAUGGAUGAUGUGGCCUGUAGUGGAUCAGAGUCAACACUGAAGAACUGUAGUUCAGGAGGAUGGGGUGAAAGUGACUGUGAUCAUGGUGAAGAUGCUGGAGUCAUCUGCUCAGAAGUCAGACUGGUUGGAGGUUCUCGCUGCUCUGGGAGGUUAGAGAUACUUCAUGAUC
This is a long non-coding RNA of Cyprinus carpio (common carp), 1508 nucleotides long. RefSeq lists it as uncharacterized. The record is from RefSeq and is a predicted model, not a curated record. NCBI's taxonomy places the organism in Eukaryota, Metazoa, Chordata, Actinopteri, Cypriniformes, Cyprinidae. The transcript is spliced from 3 exons.